This 2694-nucleotide long non-coding RNA is filed under the name Canis lupus familiaris (dog). RNAcentral's name for it is "lncRNA (ENSCAFG00845026250.1)". The record is from RNAcentral. Lineage: Eukaryota; Metazoa; Chordata; Mammalia; Carnivora; Canidae.
UUUGUUCAUAAGGGACACAGAGAGAGAGGCAGAGACAGAAGCAGGCUUCCUUCAGGGAGCCCGAUGUGGGAUCACAUCCUGAGCUGAAGGCAUACUGUCAACCACUGAGCCACCCAGGCAUCCCUUGUUUUUGUUUCAAUCGGAUAAUUUUAUAUUUUCAUAUUUUUAGAUUAGUAAAAGGUUUUACCUAGUGUUUUCUUACAUAUAUUCUCUGUACAUGUAGCUGUGACUCCUUUCUUAUUACUAAUAUUAAUUUGAUUUCUCUCUUGAUUAAAUUUGACAUGUGUUCAUCAUUAUAUUGGUCUUUUCAAAUUAGAAGACCUUGGUUUUAAUGAUAACUUUUAACUUUCUGUUAGAUAUUUGUAUUCUUCUUUAAAAAAGAUGUGUUUAUUUAAUUGAAAGAGAGAGAUGGUGGGAGGAGUGGUUGAGGGAGAGAUUCUUUCAUGCUGACUCCCCACUGAGUGCAGAGCCAGCUGCGGGGCUCCAUCUUAUGACCUAUCAAGAUCAGGACCUGAACCAAAGUCAUGGGUUGGACACUCAACCAACUGAGCCACCCAGACACCCCAGAUAUUUGCAUUCUUGUAUUAAUCUUGAUUUAAUCAGCAUUUGUAUUGUCUUUAUUGUUUAGUUUUCAAUAUGUUCAGUAGAAUGUGUAAUUAAUUUAUUCUCAGUCUACUUUUUAAUGUGCACAUUUAGUAUAAAACAUUUUCUUUGGAGUACUGUUUAAUGGUUACACAGAUUUUAAUUUGCAGAGUUUUCACUAAAGUACAUUUCAAAGUAGAUUGUAAUUUUAGUUUUCUUCAUCCUAAAAAAGGUCUUAGAGAAGAGAUCCCAAAUGAACAUCUCUUUUGCAUAUAUAUUUUUUAGUUUCAAAAUUCAUUUUUUUAGCCAGUGAAUGUAGACUAUAUGAUUUUUGCUUUUGGAGAUUUGUUAAGAUUUCCUUUGUGGUCAAAUCCAAGGUUAAUGUUUAUAAAUAUUUCAUGGAUGACUAAAAGAAUGUCUAUUUUUUGUUAACAAGAAUAAAGCUCUAAAUACAUUUGAUAUAUUUUAUUGUAUUCAUGUUACUUGAUUCCUCUAAAUUCGAUUUCUUUUUUUCUUUUGGCUUCUUGAUGUAUUUGUGAGUUAAGUAUAUUAAAAAGGUUCCUUGUGGAAUUUUUGUGUGUGUAUAUUUAUAUCAGUUUUUGCUUUAUGUGUUUGAAGUCAUAUUGUUAAGCACACAUAAGUUCAGGACUGUUCCAUUUUCCGAGUAAAUUUUUAUCAAUUCAAAAUAAACCUUUUUGCCUUUAAGUUAAUUUCAUUUUAAAUUACUUCUUGUUAGACAUUAAUAUUCCUAUACCUACCUUUGUUUAUUUAGCAUCUGCCUCUAUCAGUGUUUUGCAUAUGUGAAGAUUGGAUUAACUGAUGGUGCUGGUUACCAUCAUUUAGUAACAUAAUUGCUUAUUUUUCCUUUAAUUUAUGUGGACUUUUUAUCUUUUGGCCUAGUCAUCAUUACUUGUAUUUUCCUUGUGCCCCCCACUCCCACUUUGUCCACUUGGACAGCUCCUUAUUUCUUAAGAACUGUGUCUCAGCUCCUUAUUUCUUAAGAAUUGAAUUUGGGGCUCUUUGUUAUUAUGCAAAGAGCAAGAAAGCAUUUCUACUGGCUUUUCUCUUGUGACCAGAUAGAACUAACCAGGGUCUUCCCCUAAUUUUGCUGCUUGAUUUGUCCUAGAUUAUUGAGGUGGGUACUUGUCUUCCCAGAAUAAGAACUUUUCUCUCUAUCCAUUUAGAGUUUUUAAUACAUCCUUGGGAGUGUGGGGUGGUUAUACUAGAGUUAAUGAUGUGAUUUGAGCUCUUCAGAAAGAAUGUGACAGAGAACCACAACAUAUAGGGAAGUAAAAGGUGGAAAUAAUCUUGAAUAUGUAGGAGUAGAAACACAUUAUUAUGAUAAAUGUUAUAGAUAUGUCCAUGUAACUUCGCUUAUUGAGGUAAAUUAGAAAAAUCUGAAAAAAAGUUCCUAAAAUAACUUCUGGAUAGCACUCUUAUAGUCUUCUACUGCUCCUGGCAUACAGUUCACUGGCUACUUAACAUCUCCUAAUGCUACGGAGUCAUAUAUUACUUCAUCCAAAGCUGUUGGAGUUAGGGGAGCCAUCCAACCUGUCUGAUGAAAACAAAAACAAAAACAAAAACAAAAAAAAAGAAAGAAAGAAAAAGAAAAUCCUCAGCUUGACUCCUGAGACUAAAGUUGAUGUUCUGGUGGAGCCCUGGGAAAUCAGAAAAUAGGAGGAAACUGGAUAAUAAAAUUGAGUAAGACUUCCCGUGGCUCAUUAAAAUGGCUCUGAAGGUGACACUAUCCAUCUUUGCUCCUUUAAAAGCCUAAGGAGAUCAUUAUGGAAAUAGCAAUUAAUUUUCAAGACUGAAGGAAAAAAUGUGUACAAAUUAUAAAUUUUGUAUCAUAGCAUUUUCAAAAUUCAUUCUAUGAAGCUCUACUCAGAGGAGACCACUCAUAAAAAAUAAAAAUAAAAAAAAAACAGAUUUCUAGAGUUAAUGUGCAUUAGCAUUUUUAAAGAGUGCCAAGUUCUGAAGCAAAAAUCGUCAUCUAACUUAGAGUUGUUAUAUUUUCCAAACUUUUAAAAUUCUAAUAUCUUUUAUGAAACAUCUGUUACUAUUUGGCAGUUCAGAAAGCCAUUUACUACAUUACAUAAUUUUCAUGGACAU